Molecule: ribosomal RNA, 468 nt
Filed under: uncultured bacterium
Lineage: Bacteria
Description: partial 16S ribosomal RNA
Rfam family: Bacterial small subunit ribosomal RNA
Source: RNAcentral
GACGAACGCUGGCGGCGUGCUUAACACAUGCAAGUCGAACGGAAAGGCCCUGCUUUUGUGGGGUGCUCGAGCGGCGAACGGGUGAGUAACACGUGAGUAACCUGCCCUUGACUUUGGGAUAACUUCAGGAAACUGGGGCUAAUACCGGAUAGGAGCUCCUGCUGCAUGGUGGGGGUUGGAAAGUUUCGGCGGUUGGGGAUGGACUCGCGGCUUAUCAGCUUGUUGGUGGGGUAGUGGCUUACCAAGGCUUUGACGGGUAGCCGGCCUGAGAGGGUGACCGGCCACAUUGGGACUGAGAUACGGCCCAGACUCCUACGGGAGGCAGCAGUGGGGAAUAUUGCACAGUGGGCGGAAGCCUGAUGCAGCAACGCCGCGUGCGGGAUGACGGCCUUCGGGUUGUAAACCGCUUUCGCCUGUGACGAAGCGUGAGUGACGGUAAUGGGUAAAGAAGCACCGGCUAACUACGUG